RNAcentral lists this long non-coding RNA (259 nucleotides) under Lathyrus oleraceus (garden pea). RNAcentral's name for it is "Pisum sativum (pea) long non-coding RNA (PSAT_LNC017100)". Lineage: Eukaryota; Viridiplantae; Streptophyta; Magnoliopsida; Fabales; Fabaceae. The record is from RNAcentral.
CCAACGGAGAGGUAACCAACUGGGGACGACCAGGAAAAACUCGACGUUUAUCGAAACCAACGGAGAGGUAACCAGACAUUAAUGAAUGACUGGGGGGACUCGACCAGACAUCAACGGAUGAAUGGGAGAAAACUCGACGUUUACAGACAUCGGAAGAUGAUGUUUACAGACACCAAAAAGAUCGACCAGACAUUUACAGAUGAAUGGGAAUACUCGACGUUUACAGACAUCGAAAGAUGAUGUUUACAGACACCAAAAG